This 648-nucleotide ribosomal RNA is filed under the name Triticum aestivum (bread wheat). Its description in RNAcentral is "partial small subunit ribosomal RNA". The record is from RNAcentral. Lineage: Eukaryota; Viridiplantae; Streptophyta; Magnoliopsida; Poales; Poaceae.
AUGGCCAUGGUUAUCUCCUCCGGUGUUCAAGCUCCUUGCUCUCUCCUCAUGGCAACCUUGAUGCUGCUCAUUGUCCAGGCGCAAAGCUUCACCAGGCACUACAAUUUCAAUGUGCAAAUGGCCAACGUGACGAGGCUGUGCGCCACCAAGAGCAUCGUAACGGUGAACGGGGAGUACCCCGGCCCGGCGCUCGUGGCGAGGGAAGGCGGCCGCGUCGUUGUCCGCGUCACCAACCAUGUCGCGCGCGCACAACAUGACGCUGCACUGGCACGGCGUCCGGCAGCUGCGAAACGGCUGGGUCAUCGUCGUCUAUGGCGUCGUCAUCGUCGUCUAUCGUCGUCUAUGGCGUCAACUUCACCUUCUCCGGGCAGCGUGGCACGCUGUGGUGGCACGCGCACAUUUCGUGCCACCGUCUAUGGCGUCAUCGUCGUCCUUCCCAAGCACGGCGUGCCUUACCCGUUCGCCGCGCCGCACAUGGAGGUUCCGGUCAUCUUCGGUGAAUGGUGGAGGGCGGACACGGAGGCGGUGCUCAGCCAGGCGCUCCAGACGGGCGGACCCCCGAAUGUCUCCGACGGUUUUACGAUAAAUGGGCUUCCUGGGCCACUGUACAACUGCUCCGCCAAAGGUACAUGCUUUGUGGUUGGUUAA